RNAcentral lists this long non-coding RNA (225 nucleotides) under Elaeis guineensis (African oil palm). RNAcentral describes it as "long non-coding RNA (EGUI_LNC067092)". The record is from RNAcentral. Lineage: Eukaryota; Viridiplantae; Streptophyta; Magnoliopsida; Arecales; Arecaceae.
GACGUCAAUUGCAAGUGAACUUCGUUCGGACUCCUAUGGGAGCCGAUCUUCGUCCCCGACUUCUACUGCAGGCAAACUUUGUCCGGACUCCUACGGGAGCCAGACUUUGCUCCCGACGUCAAUUGCAAGUGAACUUCGUCCGGACUCCUACGGGAGCCAGACUUCGUCCGCAGCUUCUACUGCAACAGACUUCGUCCGGACUCCUACGGGAGUCGGACUUCGUCC